RNAcentral lists this ribosomal RNA (497 nucleotides) under uncultured bacterium. RNAcentral's name for it is "partial 16S ribosomal RNA". It matches the Rfam family "Bacterial small subunit ribosomal RNA", at positions 28 to 507 of the family's 1533-position model. The record is from RNAcentral.
GAUGAACGCUGGCGGCGUGCCUAAUACAUGCAAGUCGAGCGAACAGAUGAGGAGCUUGCUCCUCUGACGUUAGCGGCGGACGGGUGAGUAACACGUGGAUAACCUACCUAUAAGACUGGGAUAACUUCGGGAAACCGGCGCUAAUACCGGAUAAUAUAUUGAACCGCAUGGUUCAAUAGUGAAAUACGGUUUUGCUGUCACUUAUAGAUGGAUCCGCGCCGCAUUAGCUAGUUGGUAAGGUAACGGCUUACCAAGGCAACGAUGCGUAGCCGACCUGAGAGGGUGGUCGGCCACACUGGAACUGAGACGCGGUCCAGACGCCUAAGGGAGGCAGCAGUAGGGAAUCUUCCGCAAUGGGCGAAAGCCUGACGGAGCAACGCCGCGUGAGUGAUGAAGGUCUUCGGAUCGUAAAACUCUGUUAUUAGGGAAGAACAAAUGUGUAAGUAACUAUGCACGUCUUGACGGUACCUAAUCAGAAAGCCACGGCUAACUACGUG